This 207-nucleotide ribosomal RNA is filed under the name uncultured bacterium. Its description in RNAcentral is "partial 16S ribosomal RNA". It matches the Rfam family "Bacterial small subunit ribosomal RNA", at positions 568 to 774 of the family's 1533-position model. The record is from RNAcentral.
UGCGUAGGUGGCCGCUCAAGUUAGUAGUGAAAUUCCGAGGCUUAACCUCGGCGCUACUACUAAGACUGAGUGGCUUGAGUGCAGGAGAGGUAAGCGGAAUUCCUAGUGUAGCGGUGGAAUGCGUAGAUAUUAGGAGGAACACCGGUGGCGAAAGCGGCUUACUGGCCUGUAACUGACACUGAGGCACGAAAGCGUGGGGAGCAAACA